This 963-nucleotide ribosomal RNA is filed under the name Triticum aestivum (bread wheat). RNAcentral describes it as "partial small subunit ribosomal RNA". Lineage: Eukaryota; Viridiplantae; Streptophyta; Magnoliopsida; Poales; Poaceae. The record is from RNAcentral.
AUGACGAAGAGCAAGACCUCCGCUCUGGAGCGCGCGAAGAAGGCGGCGGCGGCGGGGAAAGGGAAGAGGUCAGCUCGGGGUGGAUCUUCCUCUAGGACCGCUCUGCCCAAAGGUUGGAUCCAGGGCGACUGGAUGCCAUCGGUGCUCCAGCAAGAGGAUCUCGACGAUAUGGUCGAGGGGGGAGUCAUUCCCCACGAAGCUGCGCGUCUUCCAGGGGGAGAGAUCGAACCUCAACCCCGCGACGGUGAGUGCGUGCUCCUAGCCACCCACAUCGACCGAGGGUUUUCUCUGCCGCCCCAUCCUUUCUUCCGGAGUUUCCUGAAUUUCUUCGGAGCGCAGCUCCACCACUUCACUCCCAACUCCAUUGUCUACCUUGCUGCUUUCAUCUCCAUGUGUGAGGCUUUCUUGGGUUGUCGACCCCAUUGGGGACUCUUCAAACACAUCUUUACCUGCCGUUCUCAAUCGGUCAAGAAGGCUAAGUCGAGUGACGAGAGGACGCAGGUGAUCCAGCUGUGCGGGGGCCUGGUGAUCCAGACGAGGGGGAAGAGCUGUUUUCCAUCUAUCACCUUCCCGGAGUCGGUCCGUGGCUGGCAGUCGACCUGGUUCUACUGCAAGGACGAGGCGACCCCAGGACAGUCGACUGGUCUUCCUCUUUUUUCCCUCGACCGAGCCGAGAAGCCUGCCUCUCUGAAAGUCGCGCCGGAGGAAAAGGCCCAAGUCAAGGUGCUGGCAGGUCGAGUGGUUGAGCUUGUCCGUGAGGGUGUGACUGGUAUGGACCUGCUGGAGGUCUUCCUUCAAAGGCGCAUCCAACCGCUCCAGGCCCGCGACCACCCGAUGUGGCUGUAUUCGGGUCUUGAUGACACCACUCGGGUCCACCCGGAGGAGGUCACCGACGAGAUGGUGGAGGGUGGCUGUCGAGCAUCACGGGGAACAAAGACAACCCCCGAGGAGCCAGGAGGGUAA